AUACACCUCAGAUAUACUCCAUGGCUGAUCUUUUUUUUUUUAAUUCAAUAGAUUUUUAUUAAUAAUUUUAAAGUUAUACAGUAGUAGAUAAUAAGACAGUGUGGUACAUUAUACAUGAGGUGAAAUAGUAUACAUUUGCGAGUACAUAGAUAAAGUGGCAGGUAGAUAAAAUGAACACAUAUAACAAAGGAAAAAAGUGCGCUACUGAAUGUACAAUACAAUGUGACUAAUAAGUGGGUGAAAUGUCCCUGGAAAAAAAAAAGGCUGAACAAAGUCCUAUCCGGGAGACAUUGCAGUGGUUUCCAUUAAAAGGUGGCGUUUAUUCAGUUAGUGACAUACUGACAUCAACUUUAAAACAGUUCAAACACACUGCACACUUAAAAAUCCUUGAGAUUGAAAAAAGCGUGUGUGUAGUGACAUCCAGCUUCGGUGCAGACCAAUCAGCUGGUGAGCGUGGUGACGUCAGCGAUGCUAGGCUCCACUAGGUGGGGAAUUCAACGUCCUGGUUCCUGAGUGUCCUGGAGAAGGUAGCACUGGAACAGUCACCUGGAUGCAGCGAUCGACAUCUUCACUGAGUGCCCGACUGACCCCUAGUGGGUCCAACUUUCUGGUAAGCGGCCAUCCUUUUCUUGAUGCAUCAGGAUUGAUGUUUUCUGCCAGCCAAUUCAUCUGCAGCAGUACUCAUUGAGAAGAGUCAAAGUUCUGUGAAUUAACCCUUAGAUGUCUCCCGGAUAGGACUUUGUUCAGCCUUUUUUUUUCCAGGGACAUUUCGCCCACUUAUUAGUCACAUUGUAUUGUACAUUCAGUAGCGCACUUUUUUCCCUUGUUAUAUAUGUUGUUUGGAGCCCAAUAUUAGGCUUCUUUUGUUUUGAGGUGCAGCACUGUCACAUUUAAAUUUUUCACUACGUAUUCACAUAUUGUUCAUUAUCACCUUCUAGGGGUAUAGCGCGGAUUGUCUUUUGCUUUCCAGAUAAAAUGAACACAGCAAACAUUCGCACAUAUAUGAUAGAAAAACUCCUAGAGAAUUGUAGAGUUAAUUCAAAAUUGCAACAACAACAGUAAAUUGGAGGACUCAAUCCUCCCGAACACCCCCAAGGGGACUCGUAGUGUCCAGGAGGUGUCCUCCCCUUCAAUGAGUAGUAACUAUUCUAUAAACAAAUAAGUGAAAUAAAUAAAGUGAAGUAUAUCAUGCCAAGUUAUCAUACCAGAGAUUCCAUGGAGCCCAGUGGAUCGUAUAUGUAUGUAGAGAAUCUAGGGAUGAUGCUAAAAUGUUCUCAUACAUGUUAUGAAGGUUGGUCAGGUCAAUAGCAUCAUUGGGAGAUGGCGGAUUAGAGUCUUUCCACUUUCUCGUGAUCGAUAGUCUAGCCGCCAAGAGUAAGUGAGUUAUAGUUCUUCGUAGAUUGGCUUGGAAUUUGUCAAUCCCCAGAGAUAGUAGUGCUAAGGCUGGAUCAGUUGUUACCUGCGUCAAGUCAGAAAUUAUAGUGAACAUUUUUUCCCAAUAGGUGGUGAGUUUGAGGCAACUCCACAAUAUAUUCAAUAUGUCUCCUUUGGCGUGGCAUAGCCUCCAACAUGUGUUAGGGGUUUGGGAAUCGAAUUUGGACAUUACCACUGGUGUAAGAUACCAAUGCAGGGUAAUUUUGGUCGAUAAUUCCCAUAGGGAGGUGCAGUUAGAA
Molecule: long non-coding RNA, 1673 nt
Organism: Rana temporaria (common frog)
Lineage: Eukaryota; Metazoa; Chordata; Amphibia; Anura; Ranidae
Exons: 2
Source: RefSeq, a predicted model, not a curated record